AAUCUUUGCUGGAGGAGGUUAAGAAAGAAUUUGCUCUGGUUAUCCUUCGAGAAAAACAAGUUAAAUUAGCAAUGCAACUAUGGCUAGACUUUCUGUUGCAAAUUUUCUUAUUUUUUUUGUUUCUUUUCAUGUUUCUUGAGACUCCUUUUGUAAUACUUGCUCUUUUAUUUUAAUAUAUAUAAUCAGUAGGGAUUUACCCCUCCUGUUUCAAAAAAAAAUACUAACAACAGUUCAGGUUUGCAUGAAAAAUCAAAUUAUGCAUAUACUUGCGCGUGCAUGUACCUUUUACCAGUCAGCAGUUAAUGACCCAUUGGGAUUCAGUGAAAAAGCUUAGCCAUUCAUUGUCCCCCCC
Molecule: long non-coding RNA, 352 nt
Filed under: Setaria viridis
Lineage: Eukaryota; Viridiplantae; Streptophyta; Magnoliopsida; Poales; Poaceae
Description: long non-coding RNA (SVIR_LNC002121)
Source: RNAcentral